This 189-nucleotide ribosomal RNA is filed under the name Carabus nemoralis. RNAcentral's name for it is "partial 28S ribosomal RNA". It matches the Rfam family "Eukaryotic large subunit ribosomal RNA", at positions 663 to 817 of the family's 3401-position model. The record is from RNAcentral. Lineage: Eukaryota; Metazoa; Arthropoda; Insecta; Coleoptera; Carabidae.
GGACCAAGGAGUCUAGCAUGUGCGCGAGUCAUUGGGACUCAAUAAACCUAAAGGCGCAAUGAAAGUGAAAGUCUGUUUACGCGGACUUAGGGAGGAUAGGUGCGUACACUUGUGUACAACCUCGCACUCCCGGGGCGUCUCGCACUCAUUGCGAGGUGGGGCGCACCAAGAGCGUACACGCUGGGACCC